This 506-nucleotide ribosomal RNA is filed under the name uncultured bacterium. RNAcentral describes it as "partial 16S ribosomal RNA". It matches the Rfam family "Bacterial small subunit ribosomal RNA", at positions 30 to 523 of the family's 1533-position model. The record is from RNAcentral.
AUUGAACGCUGGCGGCAGGCUUAACACAUGCAAGUCGAGCGGUAACAGAGAGAAGCUUGCUUCUCUGCUGACGAGCGGCGGACGGGUGAGUAAUGCCUAGGAAUCUGCCUAGUAGUGGGGGAUAACUUGCCGAAAGGUAAGCUAAUACCGCAUACGUCCUAUGGGAGAAAGGAGGGGACCUUCGGGCCUUUCGCUAUUAGAUGUGCCUAGGUCGGAUUAGUUAGUUGGUGAGGUAAUGGCUCACCAAGACCGCGAUCCGUAACUGGUCUGAGGGGAUGAUCAGUCACACUGGAAGUGAGACACGGUCCAGACUCCUACGGGAGGUAGCAGUGGGGAAUAUUGGACAAUGGGGGGAACCCUGAUCCAGCCAUGCCGCGUGUGUGAAGAAGGUCUUAGGAUUGUAAAGCACUUUAAGUUGGGAGGAAGAGCAGUUAACUAAUAUUUGACUGUUUUGACGUUACCGACAGAAUAAGCACCGGCUAACUUCGUGCCAGCCGCCGCCGUAA